RNAcentral lists this long non-coding RNA (12517 nucleotides) under Octopus vulgaris (common octopus). The record is from RNAcentral. Lineage: Eukaryota; Metazoa; Mollusca; Cephalopoda; Octopoda; Octopodidae.
CUUACUGCGCGCCGUGCAUAUGUUUUCCAAGCUGACACUAAUGUAUGAGUGAGUGAGCUUUUGUGGUAUAUCACUGAAUACAUCUUAUCACUUCAUACCGGCAGUCAUUCUGAUAACAUGUUUCUAUAUAAAUAAUUUUCUUAACAUAUGGAAAUUGUAUUUUCGGAAGAAUUAUUUGGAUAUUUGCCUAAAGUAAGUUUAUAGUUGUUCUUACACAUAUAUUUACACAAGUUUCAUUAUCCCUUCCUGUCUAGGCUUUUUAUAUACGCUUAUAUUUUCGUGCCUAUUUUCAUGCUUUUGUCUUUGUUUUUAUAUGCAGCUCUGUGCGUCGGUAUACAUUUAUACAUAGAACAGGCAGAAAGAGACUCUUACACAUGUGUAUAUAUAGACAUACACACACACGCAUACAUUCAAAAAUGUAUGUGUGAGUAAAUGUUUACGCACAUGCCCCCACUCUAUGUAUGAACACACACACACACACACAUAUAUAUAUAUAUAUAUAUAUUCUUUUACUUGCUUCAGCCGCUUGACUGUGACCAUGCUGGAGUACCACUUGUAGUCGAACAAAUCGACCCAGGACUUAUUCUUUGUAAGCCUAAUACUUAUCUUACCGGUCUCUUUUGCCGAAACACUAAGUUACGGGGACGCAAACACACUAACAUCAGUUAUCAAACAAUGAUGGACACACACACAUACAUGCAUACACACACACACAUGCAUACACACACACACACACACAUAUAUAUAUAUAUAUAUAUAUAUAUACACACACACACACAUGACGGGCUUCUUUCAGCUUCCGUCAACCAAAUCCACUCACAAGGCUUCGGUCGGCCCGAGGCAAGAGACACUUGCUAUGUGGUUGGUAAGCCAGCUACAUCAUUUUAUUGAAACUUUAAAAAAAACUUCAGUUUCACAUUUUUUCAGAAUGUCGUCACUAUUCAAAACAAUUAGUUUAAAAGUAUUUAUGUAUUCAAGAUAGCCAUCUCGUGAGUAGUGCGAACGGUUACGUGAAACUUUGUGUAUCAAUUCGUGAAGGUGUUUCUAAGCUUCAAUAAAACAUUUACUUUACCUUUUGUUUUGGAGUUCUAUUUUCUUCACCUUGUAUUGCACGUAUGUUCUCACGUGUGUGUGUGUGCAUGCGCGCGUGCGUGCGUGAAGGUCCGUGGUCGAGUGGUUAGUGUAUUGUGCUGACUAUCACAACGUGGUCAGACAGUCUGGUCGAUACAGGUGUGUGUGUGUAUACUGUUUGUUAUAGACGAAAACAAUCUUCACAAACUCUUACUCAGUUUACGUUAACGUUCGUCGGAUAGUUGUGAUCAUACUAAAAGAAAUUUGAGUAACAGUUUGCGAAGAUUUUUUUUUUCUUUAGCCUUUAAUGAAAUACCAUAUUACUCUACUUUUGGUAUUCGAGUACUAUUUUUUCCACCUUGUUUUGCAUUUAUGUGUGUAUGAGGGAAUGAGUGCGUGCGCGUGCAUGUAUCUAUCUAUCUAUCUAUUAUUAGGUAUCUAUAAAUUACCUUUGCAAUUUGAAAAAUUCAAGAAAAAUUGUAAAAUAAAGAUAAGCUUGUUUACCAACGUCAGGGUUCAGGGUUGAGUCCUACUGCGUGGCAUCUUGGGCCAGUGUCUUCUACUAUAGCCCUGGGCUGACCAAAGCUUGUGAGUGGAUUUGGUAGACGGAACCUGAAAAAAAAAAACCGUCGUGCUUGUGUCUGUAUCUGGCCUCCACCACCGCUUGACAACCGGUGCUGGUGUGUUUAUGUCCCUGUUAACUUAGCGGUUCGGCAAAAGAGACUGACAAUAAGUACCCAGGUUUUAUUAAUAAUUAAGCCUAUGAGUCGAUUUGUUCGACUAAAAAAUUUCCAAAUGUCCCAGCAUGAAACUAGUAAAAAAAAUAAAUAAAAGAUAAGCAAAUAAAAUUUUAUUAGAAAUAUUAGAAACUUUUAAUAAUUAUUUAACAUGCAAAGAAGUUGAUUGAUGGAUCUCAACUUUAAUAGGUACAAUAAAUUAUGGAAGUUGUAAAGACAAUUUAUGGACACCCUUUAUAUAUCAGCACGAGUAAGUGAUUAAGCGGAACAAAUAUAUUCAUUAUGUGGCCGUAAAUCAUUAAAACGCUUGCAACGCAAUGUAAUAAGGGACUGGAUUCGUGGGGGAAAAACAUCUUUCUUUGGUAAAUGCCUCUACACAAGCUCAGGUCGACUGUAGAUUUGUUACAAAAAAUUAAAUAGAUGGAACGUGAAGAAUUACGCCGAGUGGUCUAUACAUAGACGUAAUUUGAAAUGUCCGGCCUCGUCAUAUUGUGUCACGUAGAGUUAACUUGAAAAUUACAUAAAGUGUAAAUAUGUCUGUGGAAUUCGUUCUCGUGAGAAUUUGAACUCGGAACGUAGCGGCAGACGAAAUACCUAUUUCUUUACUACCCACAAGGGCUAAACACAGAGAGGACAAACAAGGACAGUCGCCAAUUCUUUCAGCACGUUGCCCAGUGUUUGCUCAGUGUCCAUUUCACACACAUGCACACAAUCUGCUCGUGUGUGUGUGUGCGCGCGCACGCACACACACACACACACACACAUUAUAAGCAUAAAAACGGUACUGUACGUGCGCGCGUAUAUAUAUAUAUACAUAUAUAUAUAUAUAUAUAUACACACACACACACACACACACACACAUACAUACAUUAUUAUGUGUAUGCGUGUAUAUUUGUACAAGAUAGCGCUAUCACCGACACGACUAUGGUGCUUUCACUGUUUAAAUACCUGAUUCUUUCGAAUCCUGAAAUUUUUUUAUACACACACACACACACACACACUUUAAACAAAAAUGAUCUAAGAAAAUGCAGUGUUGCUAGUUACAUAAAUUUUUACAAUAAAGGCGAAUAGUAGUUUAUAAAAUGUCAUUCAAACUUAUUUCUCGUUAGGUCUCCGAGGCGGUAACUCUAACACCGAGUGGUAACUACAACUGAAUCCAAAUGAGAAAAGGGACAACACAUAUAGACAUACAAAAAUAGAGAACAUUUCUGGCCGGUGGUAACUUGCCUAAUUAAAACAGAAAUAAGCGAGGAGAAAGAAAAACUGAGUUGGUAAGAUAUACAUACAUGCAUGCAUAUACAUGCUUUAGUGCAUUCAUUGAGAUUAUCAAGUUAGACAUUUGUUUCCCAUCGCAUCACCCGCGUUAUAGUACACGCUCAACCACUGUGAAAAAUAGGGAGAUUGUAGCAAAAUCCUUACGAAAUUUGCGGCUUAUGGAUUGAAUAAUAAGUAUGAAUAUAUACUAAUAACGAUGAGCAACCUUGCAUAAAUUGGGUUAAAUAAAGAGAAAAAUAUUAAAGGCAAAAAGGCUCGAAAGGUUUUCGUCAUUGCUUCAUGUCUUUACCACACUUGAACGAAUAUAGGUUCUUACUGUGCUUAAUCCUUGGGGAAAUUUAUUGAAUUUAUACCCGAGAACGCUCCUUUGGCAUUUUUGAGUCCUUUGCUACCAUGAAAAUCUAUAUGGAAAAAUUGUUUUCGGUAGUAAUGCCAGAAGCGAUCACAAUUAUGCCAGAACACGUUCAUUAGUCAAUUUUCUGUUGGGGCUUUGUGCAAAGAAAUGAUAUCACAAUACUUCAAACAAAAGACAUUGUUUAAUCCUGAAAUACUGAAGAGGUUCCCAUUGGCAGUUUAAUUGUGGCACAAAGGCCAUUAUCGACGGAAAAUGUGCCAAUAAUUGUUUCAAAAAGUCAUGUUUUUUGGUUAUUUUCUGUUGAUGAUUAGGGUUUCGUGCAUCACAAAUGCACUCAUAACACACCUUCUUCAUUGCUGCAUUUCUGACACCGAAAACGUUAAAAUUGGCAAUGUAGAUUAAAGCAAAUCCAAAUAUUGUCCGAAAAUGACCUCAAACUUGUGCGGCCCGAUUUCGUUUUCGAGUUUACUUUUGUAGUAAAACAGAGUUGUACAAAAACAUACUUCAUUUGAUAGCCGAAAGAUUACUGAAUCUUUUGAUACCUCAUACGUCAAAAUCGGUAACUCAGUUUUCGAAUCCAUAAGGAACAUGCGCACGCACACACACACACACACACACACACACACACACACACUAUGUUUUAUGUAUAUAGAUGUGACAUUUCUAAAAACAUGUGAAAAUGCAGGUACACUGUAGCUUUGUCAUCUACUGUGUCAUGCUGUUUCCUUAUGAGAAUAACACACACACACAAGUGUGUGUGUGUUAUACCAGGUCACUCUUGAGCGCUAAUAGUAACAUGUAACCCAGAAUAACCGUUGGCCGAGUCAUCGGUGACUAAACCGGUAACUCCACCAGUUGCUUGCCAGGAGAGGACAGUGAUUAAUUGAACACUAUGAUGAAAAACAACUUGUCAAAGGCCAUCCAAUAAUGUAUGCAUGUAUUCCGGGCAGGUAUAUAUAAACACACGAGGAAGUUCCUGGCUUUAAUGGUAUCGCGAAAGGCCUAGUUGGAGGCCCAAUCUUCCGAGUUCUUUUACAGAGCUUAGAAAACCUAAAAGACCACUGCAAUAAGUGUGUGAAUCUGAGAGGUGAACAUAAAAUCAUAAUUAACUAAUCCUCUUGUAUUUUUUUUUUACCGAAAGCCAGGGAUUUUUCAUCCCCCACCAUCGUAUAUGUAUAUGUAUGUGCGGCAGCCCUUAGCUGACAGCAGAUUUCAGUGGCGUAAAGUGGGCUUUGGUUGUCCCCUUCCUUAAAUGUAACAUAUUUUCGACUACAGCAAAUACAAGUAUAUAAAGUGUCCGUCAUUAUGUGGUCCGCUCACCCUGUAUAUCUCAUGCAUUAUCGCUGCUAGAUUUUAAGUACGUUUGAUUCCUUCCCUGUUUUCCUUAAUUUGUUUUAGUACAUCUUUGCUAUUUAUUUCCUAGUCUAUCGAUACUCCUAUUAUCUCUCUCUCUCUCUCUCUCUCUCUCUCUCUCUCUCUCUCUCUCUCUCUCUCUCUCUCUCUCUCUCUCUCUCUCUCUCUCUCUCUCUCACACACACACACACACACACACACACACACACACACACACACACACACACACACACACACACACACACACACUCGAAGAAGUGCUGGAAAGUUACUGGUUUUGGGUAAAAGAAAAUACAGGAGGUUCAACAUAUUCCCCUCUGAUUCACAUACUUAUUGCAGCAGUCCUUCAGUUUUCCCAUACCCGGUAAAAGAACUCGGAAGGGUGGGCCUCCAGCCAGGCCUUUCGUGACACCUUUAAAGCCAGGAACAUUUCGGCACCCUCUCAUAUAUAUAUAUAUAUAUAUAUAUAUAUAUAUAUAUAUAUAACCCGUUUUCCAUACAACAAUUACAUGAUGGUUAGAUUGAACAUGAACCUUACUCAGUGUUAAAGAAGUUUGGUUCGUAAAUAUGUAGAUUCAGGUUCAACCGUACUGCACGGCAUGUGUCUUCUGAGAGAGAUUUUUUUCUCUCUCUUGUCAACCAAAGCCUCGUAAGAGAAAUUUGAAAGACGGUAACUGUGAAUUGACUGUUCUUCAUUUUGGGCUGCACAUUUAAUCCAUCUUCUGAUUUUACACCACGACUUUGGAUUUGCCGUUGUUGGUGUUAUUAAGGUUCAUUCUGUUGUAAGCAUUUAGGCCUGCCCGCUGGUAUACACAUAACUGACCCUUCUGCCUUUCCGUCUCCACGUCUUCAGAAAAAGAUUGAGCGUCUCUUUUUUUUUUCUACUUAUAGAACAAUAUUGAUAACCCUUACACCAUCAACAACCUCAUUACCUAAACAGAAUAAAAUCAUUAUUUGUGGUGUAUGAUUCAGUGGGAGAAAGAUUAGGAAAAAUACUUUGAUGUAUAUCUUCACGCGUUCUAAAUUCAAAUUUUUCUUGAUUCCUUUUUUACAUUUAACUCUGCCGAUGUCGAUAAAAUAAGCUGCCUGUCAACAAUUGAAGGAUUAGUAGAAUCGUUAGAAUGCCUCACAGCAUUUUUUCCCGAUUUUUGAAGAUUUGUGAACAGUAGCAACGCUAACAGCAGACCCCAGUCUCCAGAGCACCACCGGUCACAAUUCCAGAGAUGGUGGAAGAAGUCACUUGGUGCCCAAUCCUUGAAAUCAACGACUCAGUACUUUGCCCCCCUUCCCCCUUAACAUAAACUGAAGAGCCUUAGUCUCGUCUUAUGACGAAAGGAAUAUGGAGCUGAAAAAGGUUUCCAAACUGUCGGAAGAGGAAAAAAAUUAUGAGCUUCAUCAAAUGAAUAUGAGUGAAUCCCAGCAGAAGAAAACUAAAAAGAGUGAGGAGGAGUUCCUCCUUAAGACGACGACGACGAAAGGACACAAAAUUCGCGGUCCUUCGAAAGAUGAACCCCUGAAGUGGCAGAUAUUGCCUUGAGAUGUUUAUCACAGAACUCUAAGCAGAGCCAGAAUACAGGACUUCAAAUGCCAGAGUUUUUUGUAAAAGCAAUCGCACAAUAUUGUCACAUACUGAAGUAGAAGUAUUCAGAGAAUAUGGGUUGCUUUUUGUCUCACCUCACGCAUAUGUUAACGUUACCUUUGGGUACACGAGACUCCAGCACAAACGGUAGCAAGCAUGGAGAAUACAGGAUGCUUUAAUUUGACAUAACCAGUGGAUUAUCACCCUUUGUGUUGGUUGACAACCCUAAAUGUCUUUCAGUAUGCUAUUAUUUAUUUAAUAUCCUCUUUUAUGUAUUAUUAUGUAUCCAUCUUUUAUAUGUAUUUGUUUACUUAUUUAUUUAUCAUAUGUCCUUAUUUAUACACAAAUUUUUUAAUUGUCUUCUUUGUAUAACGUCCCUGAUCCACACUGCUUAUUUGUACUAUCCAAUACGUUUUGUAAACCAUUAUUAUUAACGUUUCCUAUUCUGGGUGCAUAAAUGAAUUCAAUGAAAUUGCUCCCAGUGAGUUGGAAGAAUUGGAAGACAGUAUGAAUGAAUGAUUGCUUUACAGUAUUUCUUGCCACUGUUCACGUUCUGAAUUCAAAUCCCACCGGGGUUAAUUUUGCUAUUUAUCCUUUCAGAGUAGAUAAAAUAAAACACCAGUCAAAUACUGCGAAUGAUGUUAGCGCUAAACCCCUCCCCUCAAAUCUUUUGGACUUGUUCCUAAAUUGGAAACAAUUAGAGUAGCAGAAUCAUUAGAGCAUAGCAAAAAAUUUUGUGCCAUUUUCCCAACGCUUUGAAUUCUAAUAUCUCCAAGGUAAACUUUACCUUUCAUCCUUGCAGAGUCGAUAAAAUAAAGUACAAGUACCAAGAACGAUGUUAUCGAUUAAAAUCUCUGGUUUUGAGAUAAGUGGUUAAUCGAUAGCAAAAUCAAUUAUUAUUAGAAAUCCUUGUCAAAUUAAGAAAUCAUCAUUAUCAAAAGAUAUUGAAAUAAUUAUUGUUCGUAGUAAUAUUAUCCAGUUAAGGGACCACGUAUUCUACCAGAGUUCUUUUGUCAAGAACUCAACUAUCAGUUAAAUACAUUUUGGAAUCUUAUGACAAACGUAUGAACGUGCUAAUUGAACUUUAUGAACAUUACAAAAUAUUUUUUUUAAUGUUUAACACACUUCAACAUUGUAUUUUUUUAAAUACCAUAAUAAAAAACAUGAAAACCAGACGAUAUUUUAACUUUAUUCGACUCUCUCUCUCACACACACACACACAUAUGUAACAGUUUGACUCUACUCCAUGCAACUUAGUUUCGUAGGCUGGUAGACCAAACUUAACUCGUCAGGCAUCUAUAACAGGUUAUGAGACAUCCAAGAUCGCUUCCAGAUGUUAGGAAUGUAUUGGUUAACUCAGGUCUAGUGGUUUUAUAAGUCGGGAAACGACAUCACUAAUUUCCUAAAUGCCGGUUAAUUAAACCCUGUAAGAGCGAAAUAAGAAUAGUAAAUAAGUGUAUUCACGGUUCGCUAUUAGAAAAGCUGCGGGGCUGAUCCAAUGAGAUUGCAGCAUCGCAGUAAUCGAUUGGUUCAGAGGUAUCAAAAUAAAGCAGUCUGUAGGUUCACCCACUUCGAUAUCAUAGAUUUCUACUUUUCAGUGUCGAAAUCCUUGUCUCUGAAGGCUUUAGGCAAUUCAACCAUAUCAGCGAUAUUAGAAUUAUCAUGAAAGUCAAUAUUGGUUCACAAGGAUUCCUACUGGGUGAAGAAGGAAGGCGACCCAUUGGCGUCAGGAAACUCUUAGCUACGCUUCUUGAAACGUCUAGAUUGAAUGGCGGAUUGUACCAAAUUAUCAUUCUCUUUCUGACUCUCUUCAAGUUCGGGGGAGAAGUUGCGGUGUCCUCCAUAUAUACUAUCUUCGCACUGAAUUCACUACUCGCUAAUGCUUCCCUAUAACGCGGGGCAGCCCUAUUGAGGAUCUCUCUAUCCACUGAUAGUUAAGAGAUUCUUCUACUUAUGUCUAGGUUUCUACUUAUGACUAUGGGGAGCUAUGACGGGUACUUGGUCUGAGAUCGCUGACUUUGUCGGGUAUUCUCUCCGGGAUACUCUAAAGAAACGCACACACCUCCAUAACUCAGCCCUUUAUAGGGACGGCAGUUUCGCAAUCUCAAGCCACAUGAACGGCUAUACCAAGGACAAGUUCAGGAAGGAUUUAACAAAGAUCAUCAAAGAAUUUGGUCCAUCUAAAACAACCACCACCAACUUGACAUGGGUAGACUUCUUGGAUGUAACCCGCGACCUGAAAACGGACAAGUACUACUCUUACAGGAAGCCUUACGAGGAAACUCCAACCAUCCACCAGCUAUAGUUAGAAUCUUAGUCAUAAAUAGAAACCUAGGCAUAAGUAGAAGAAUCUCUUAACUAUCAGUGGAUAGAGAGAUCCUCAAUAGGGCUGCCCUGCAUUAUAGGGAAGCAUUAGCGAGUAGUGAAUUCAGUGAGAAGAUAGUAUAUAUGGAGGACACAACUUCACUCUCGAACCUGAAGAGAGUCAGAAAGAGAAAGAUAAUUUGGUACAAUCCGCCAUUCAAUCUAGACGUUUUAAGCAGCGUAGCUAGGAGUUUCCUGACGCCAAUGAAAAGCAUUUUCCUUGAACCUGUAAGUACACAAGAGCACGGUAGUUAAUCCCUUCCGCCUGUAUAAACUAUUGCUACCAUAUUGUACCACCAUAUCUAAUCUAACAUCAUCAAAUCUGGUUACUCUUUCAGAGAGAUAGUUGCCGCUUAGGUGUUAGUUUUUCACUAACCUGCGACAACUAUCGCUUUGCCAUGUGUAGUAUCAAAUGCAAUGAACUGAUGUCACUAAAGAAAUUAUACUGCCAUCUCCAGACUUAGCGGUGACGGGUACCUACCAACAUCCUGUCCGACUACGCGAAUAUAAAAACUUAAGAAAAAAAAUUGAUGUCACAUCCAGACGGACCAAUAAAACUUCGAGAACUGAGUUGACCAAUAGAGGCCCACCUUGAAUUUGUCUCGUAUCUGCUUUGUUGUCUGACAGUUUAGGUUCGUUCUACGAAACUAAACUGCGUGGAACUGGAUCAAACUAUUACUAAAUAGAUAUAUAUAACUCCAAAUACGUUGAAUGUCACUUCCUUUCGUCUGUGUGUGUAUGAUACAUACACACAAUAGUUGUACUAUUGUUUGGUCAAGUUAGCUUUGACUGAGCAAUCCUGUGAUCAAAAAAUUCCAUCUUUAAUCAACUCGUCUUUCCUAGGAGGGAAAGAUGUAAUGUGAGGCUACCAUUUGGCUAGUUGAGAUUAUGUUUUAAGUAUUUAGUUUGUAUGUAAUGCAAAAAUAUUUUAAUACUAAUUCAGUAAACUGUAGUGCACAUUGUGUAAUAGCCAACAAUUGAGUAACUUGAUAUACGUCUAUCGAAUAGCAAUGUUGUAUUCGUUUAAGCCAGUGUUUGUCAAACUGUGCCGCGGAAAGUAAUUUCGGGAUUUUCGAGAAACAACGAUCCAAGAACAUUUGCAUAGUUCGAGCGUAAAUAUAAAUUUAUAUAAAUCGUAAAAUAUGGUAAAUAUAAAUGACGUUACACGACGGACAGAACAUUUGCUAUAAUAUGUUACACUUCUCUUUGCGUUCUGAGUUCAAAUUCCGCCGAGGUCGACUUUGCCUUUCAUCUUUUCGGGAUCGAUAAAUUAAGUAUCAGUUACGUACUGGAGUCGAUCUAAUCUAUUGGCCCCUCCCAAAAAAUUUCGGCCCUUGUGCCUAGAGUAGAAAAAAUAUUACAUUUUUGCAUGUAAACCGGGAUUGUAAGUAAGUUGUAUAUUAGUCCAAGAAGAUUUAAUUUUUGAUUUAUUUAUAAUUUACAUGAAUUAUUUUACGUUAACUUCAAUCGAUUUUUAAUUUUAGAUUUAAACAUGGACGAAUUUUUAUUGACACCCCAGAAAAAUGAGAAAGAGAGUCAUAAAAAACGAGACGAACACCAGAAUAGAAAGUCCACCUCAUCAAAACGAAAAUGUAAUGAAAAUUACAUCCAAUAUGGUUUUAUAUUAUCGGAUAAAAGACAACUCGGUUCCCUUUUGUAUAAUUUAACAACACUCUCAAAUGAAGCGAUGGAUCCAAGUAAACUUCAGUGUCAUUUAAUAACAAAUUAUCCCAGCAGAAGGACAAACCUUCAAACAAAUUAAGACCAUUCCUUUGCCUGCACACAUGAUUUCUCGUAAAAUUCAAGACAUUUCGUGAGACAAUGAUGAUCAGCUUCGCCAAGAUUUCACUGAAGCAAAAAAUGAACUCGAAAACUUGUGGGCCUUACAACAUCAGUAACGAAGCUCAACUAAUUUCAUUUCUGUGAAUCAUCAGAGGUGGUAAAAUCAUAAAUCAGUUUUUCUUUCGUUGUGAAUUGAAGGAAAGAACGACAGGAAAAUAUGACUUUAACCUGGUAAACCAAAAUGUAUUGAGAGGGAUGCAGUGGAAAACUUGUAUUAGCGUUCGCCCUGAUGGCGCUCCAUCCAUGCACGAUCGAAAAAAUAGGCGUCGUGGCUCAUGUAUUAUAAAACAAACCUUCACAAGUUAAAAUUGUACAUUGCAUGAUUCACCCCGAACUUUUGGUGUCAAAAUCUCUACCAGCUGGUCUCCUGAAGACGAUGGACAACGUUGUGGUGAAUUACAUAAAAUCGCAUUCCCUACAGUGCAGACAAUUUGCAUCUCUAUGUGAGAGUAUAUUUUAUUACUUUGCGAACUGAAAUUUGUUUCUUCGAUGCUGAAAAUUCUGGAUUUGAAUUUCUUAACGAUGAUAAUUGUUGAAUUAAAGUGAAGUAAACAAUUUUGUGCUUGAGGGUGUGAAGCAUGUGGUUGUGUAAAAAGAGGUAGUUUGGAAAGAGUCUGUGUGUGUGUGUGUGUGUGUGUGUGUGUGUGUGCUUUGAGUGGAACUGAAUGCAAAAUAGGUAACAAAUUCCAAGAUGCUAAAAUUAAGAGGAUUCGUUAAAGUUAGUAAAAUCCCUUUUUAACCCAGAAAGCUAUGUUACAAUUUGUGAGACGUGGAAGCUCGUGAAUCAUGUGAUGUUUUCUUGCUGGCUAUCUUCUAUGUUUUGAAAUGGAGCUGAUGCUUCCCAGUUACGGUUCGUGGGGAAGCUUCUUCCUGGUGCGGUACGCAAGGUUCAAUGCAUGUACAGCCGGAUAUUUGAGAUAUACGAAGAACAGUUAGUUGUACCUGUGAAAUAAAUAUCAAGACAAAAGUUAAACAGAUCCCUAUUUCUUGCAUUAUAAAUAUUUAUUUCGGAACAACAUUCGAUUUGAAAAACAGAGGUAGACAGCAGUCAGACAGAGUUGGACAAAUGACUUGCGAUUAUUAAUUACGUCCCGAAUUCAAAUCCUGAUGUAGCGUCGUUACCUUUUAUCUCUCUGGAGCCGACAAAAUCAAUGCUUGGUUGAUUUAAUCAAUUGUUUUUUUAUUUUCCAAUAAAUUUCAUUCUUUGAACAAAUGUUAGAAAUCAAUAUUUACUUAAAAUAGUAUAUUAUUAUCUUGUGAACAUCAAAGAAAAUAACGUUAAGAAUUUAUACACGAGUGUCUAUUUCAACAGCAAUAGUGGCCAUGUGUUGCUUUUCAAACUAGAAUAUUAUUACUAUUUAAGUUCUAUUUUCAUUAAUUGUCUUAAAAACUCUUCUAAAAGAUAUUUAUUUCGCUGUAAAAAUUUAUUUAUUCUAACACUUUGCUUUUAUAAUUAAGAAACAUUAAAGAGAUUUACAUUGAAUUAUUUUAUCUAUAUUUAGAAGUGGACAGGACUGGAAACAAUACUAUGCUGUUGAUCGAACAUUAAAUGAAUAGCACUACUAUUCAGCUACGUUUUAGUUUCACAUUAGAUUUGCGAUAAUUUUAACCGCAGCGCAAAAUAUAGUCGCAUUUAUUUCGAGUAACGCUAUCUUACAUUCUUAGUUAUAUAAAUAUAUAUGUAAAAUUUUUACCUUGCUUGUUUAUUGAAAUGUGUGAAGAUAUCAGAUUUGUAUAGUAGUAAAUUGUAGUAAAUGAAUGGCCGGUAAGAAAAUCCACUAGAAAAUUUCUAUCCCGUGAAUCCCUUUUUAAUAUAAGAAAAAUCAAUAUACGCUUUCUAUCAGAGGCUGAAUGCGCUGUUUUCAGGGUAGGAAAUUGAAUCUAAUGAAACGGAACAGAAAAGAAUGAGACAAAGAUUUUCACAAUAAACGUCUUUAUAUC